RNAcentral lists this ribosomal RNA (793 nucleotides) under uncultured bacterium. Its description in RNAcentral is "bacterial SSU rRNA". It matches the Rfam family "Bacterial small subunit ribosomal RNA", at positions 633 to 1426 of the family's 1533-position model. The record is from RNAcentral.
CUNUCUGACUUGAGUGCAGAAGGGGAGAGUGGAAUUCCAUGUGUAGCGGUGAAAUGCGUAGAUAUAUGGAGGAACACCAGUGGCGAAAGCGGCUNUCUGGUCUGUCACUGACGCUGAGGCUCGAAAGCGUGGGUAGCGAACAGGAUUAGAUACCCUGGUAGUCCACGCCGUAAACGAUGAGUGCUAGGUGUUAGGCCCUUUCCGGGGCUUAGUGCCGGAGCUAACGCAAUAAGCACUCCGCCUGGGGAGUACGACCGCAAGGUUGAAACUCAAAGGAAUUGACGGGGGCCCGCACAAGCGGUGGAGCAUGUGGCUUAAUUCGAAGCAACGCGAAGAACCUUACCAGGUCUUGACAUCCCGAUGCUAUUCUUAGAGAUAGGAAGUUACUUCGGUACAUCGGAGACAGGUGGUGCAUGGUUGUCGUCAGCUCGUGUCGUGAGAUGUUGGGUUAAGUCCCGCAACGAGCGCAACCCUUAUUGUUAGUUGCCAUCAUUAAGUUGGGCACUCUAGCGAGACUGCCGGUAAUAAACCGGAGGAAGGUGGGGAUGACGUCAAAUCAUCAUGCCCCUUAUGACCUGGGCUACACACGUGCUACAAUGGUCGGUACAACGAGUUGCGAGCCGGUGACGGCAAGCUAAUCUCUGAAAGCCGAUCUCAGUUCGGAUUGGAGGCUGCAACUCGCCUCCAUGAAGUCGGAAUCGCUAGUAAUCGCGGAUCAGCACGCCGCGGUGAAUACGUUCCCGGGCCUUGUACACACCGCCCGUCACACCACGAGAGUUUGUAACACCCGAAG